This 1248-nucleotide ribosomal RNA is filed under the name Triticum aestivum (bread wheat). RNAcentral describes it as "partial small subunit ribosomal RNA". The record is from RNAcentral. Lineage: Eukaryota; Viridiplantae; Streptophyta; Magnoliopsida; Poales; Poaceae.
AUGGCGAGGCUCCUGGUUGCACUGGUGUGUGCGUACUUGACAACGACCGUCGGAGCUAGUCUCCGGCUUGAGCUCAGUCGGCUGGAAGCGAAGGCAAGUUCACUUGCAACCGUGCGUAGGGCGAUCGCGCCCGUCCGCUGGAGGCAAGGAUGGCACGUCACCGAGUACCGGAUCGGCGACCCUCCGCAGCCGGUCCAAUCCAUUAUUGAUGUCGGCAGCGGCCUGGUGUGGACGCAGAGCGCGACGUGCCACCCCCGCUGCAUCAGCCAGGAUCUCGACUGCUACAACCCCGACCGGUCGCGCUCCGCGCACAGCGUGCCUUGCGACAACAGGACGCUGUGCGCCGCGGCGCAUGCUGGUCGAUGCACGGGCCACAACGCCGCCUGCACCAUCAUGGCCAAGAACGGCGCCGAAGGCAUUGAGCUCUGGGACCUCGCCGGAGAUCUCGGCGUGGACGUGUUCACCUUCGGUUCUGAGAAGGUAACAAUCGCGUUCGGACGCAUGCGUGAGAUUAAACUAUUCAAGCCAGAGAUCUUAGGGGGAGCUUCCGGCGUCAUCGGCCUCGGGAAGGGACCGCUCUCGCUGGUCUCCCAGCUCGGGCACACCAAAUUCUCCUACUGCUUCACCGAGGACGUCAACGCCACCAGCCACUUGGUCAUCGGUUCCUCCGCCGUCCUCGGCGACGGGCCAGUAACAUCCAUACCGUUCGUCGUCAACCCGAGCGAAGAGCCCUACAACACUUUGUACUACGUACCUCUGAUUGGGUUGUCAGUGGGUAACGUCAGACUGGCUAUCCCUACCGCGGCGUUCAACAUGCGGCGGGCCUCGCCAUGGCUGUGGACCGGCGGAACGAUCAUCGACUCCUGCAUCGAGACCAUGUUCCUCGUCGACGUGGCAUACAAGGCGCUGAGGCAGGAGGUGGCGAGGCAGAUGGACAGCAGUCUCCUGCCGACGACGAGCGAGUGGCCGGAGUACUGCGUCGACCGCUGGGAUGUGGGUGCGGUGCCGCCUUUAGUGCUGCACUUCGGCGACGGCGCAGACUUGGUGCUGCCAGCGACAAAUUACUGGAUGCCGCUCGCGGAUGACAGGACGUGCAUGGUCGUGUACAGCUCGGCGGAGAGGAAUACGACGCUGCCGAUGAAUGAGACGACGGUCAUAGGCAGUUACAUGCAGCAGGACAUGCACGUUCUCUACGACAUCGGUAAGGGCGAGAUCUCUUUCCAGGCAGCUCACUGCAGCUCCAUGUAA